This 3978-nucleotide ribosomal RNA is filed under the name Triticum aestivum (bread wheat). Its description in RNAcentral is "partial small subunit ribosomal RNA". Lineage: Eukaryota; Viridiplantae; Streptophyta; Magnoliopsida; Poales; Poaceae. The record is from RNAcentral.
UGGCCAUUCUAUUGAUAUUUGAGUAAGUAUACAACUAGGCAACCACCCAUCAGAAGCCAGGUAUGCUGGUGCUUCUUUGGUUUUGAUGUGUAAAAGGAAGGAGGAUUCUUCAAGUUGAAGAUCAAAUCCAGCUACGUUUCAUCAACAAAAAGCUAGCACGCUCUCAGUCGUACCCAUGGCUCCAUGAGGGUUCAGGAUCUCCAUGGUUAAGCUUCGAUGACAAGUUGACAACCUCAACAGCCAAGUCAUGAGGUCCCUAGUUUUUUGUGAGGAUCCAUGAGAUUAUUCCUAUGGUUUCAGAUUCAGAAAAGCACAAGGAGGUCCCCAACAUUGAUUGGAUCUAAGCCAUUACGAGCACCAUAAACACAAUAUAAUUUCCUCCUGGAAGGACGAGCUUCUUUGUGAGGACGACAAGAUCUUUCAAGCAAGAAGGUAUGCGGAGUAGUUCCCUCUUUGUCUUGGUUCAAAUUUCAGAUUGAGAAACGAACAAGGCAGGUUCACCAACACCGAUCAGCUCUAAGCCAUUUCUAGGCAGCUUCCUAAGCACAAUAAAGAUUUCUCCAGGAAGGUCUGGCCGAUCUUCUUAAUUUUUGACAACACCAAGGUCUGGCGAGUGUGAAGUGAACUUUCUGAUGAUACUGAGGAAAGUAUACAACUAGGACGCCACCAACCAACGAGGCAUUAGCAAGCCUCAGAAAGUAAUGGCGGAGAUUGUGAUCCUUCUAGCCAUUAAAAAGAUUGGAAUUGCCUUGGCAAAAGGAGCGGCAGACCAGGCCAGUGUGCAGUUAGCAAAGUUCGGGGCACAACUACUGGAGCUACAGGGUAGCAUUGGUCGUGUUGCCAGGGAGCUUCGGGUAAUGCAUGAUGUUCUAUGUGAAAUGGACAUUCGAAACCGCAGCAAUCAAGUAUAUGAGGGCUGGUUAGAGGAGGUACGCAAAGUAGCACAUGUGAUGGAGGAUAUGGUGGAUGAGUACUUGUAUCUAGUUGGUCGAGAACAUGAUAUAGGUUGUUGUUUCUUCCUGAAGAAAGGGUUCAAAAAGCCAAGAUCACUGCUUUGUUUGAAUCAGAUAGCUCUCGGAGUGAAGGAACUGGAGAAAGACCUUUCACACCUAUCAGAGACAAAAAACCGUUGGGUUCCCAUGAUAAAUAACGGGGAUUCUAGCAACCUCAGUUACAUUGUCAAGAGAUCCCAAGAGCUAGCAAACAUUUCACGCUUAAUUGAUGAAGAAGAUCUAGUGGGGGUGGAUAAAAACAGAGAAAAACUCGAGCAAUGGUUGGGGGGUGAUGAUCAGAAAUGCUCUGUGAUAGCUCUGCUCGGAAUGGGAGGUCUUGGUAAAACUGCUUUAGCUGCAAAUGUCUACAAGAGGGAGAGGGAGAAAUUCCAGUGCUACGCCUGGGUCUCCAUCUCUCAAACUUAUUCUAGAGAAGAUGUCUUGAGAAAUAUGAUCAAAGAACUUUUUAAAGACAAUGCUAGUGCUCUAUGUAACACUCUGUCCAUGGACAUCAUGAGCCUUGAAGAGACACUAAAGAAAUAUCUGGAGCAAAGAAAGUACUUGAUCAUAUUGGAUGAUGUUUGGGAUCCGGAAGCAUUUCAUGAUUUGUCAAGGAUGCUUACUCAUAAUGAUAAGGGCAGUAGAGUGAUACUUACAACAAGGGAAGCCAGCAUUGCCGCACUUGCCUCUCAAGGACAUAGCUUAACAUUGAAAGCUUUACCAGAAGACAAGGUGUGGGAUCUCUUUUGUAAGAAAGUCUUUCCAGGAGAUACAAAUCAUGAAUGUCCUACAGAAUUGAAGCCAUCGUCCAAGGAAAUAGUUAGCAAGUGCAAAGGCCUGCCUCUUGCUAUUGUGUCAGUUGGUAGCCUAUUGCGUGUGCGUGAGAAAACUGUGGAAGAAUGGAGAAGAAUAAAUGACCAACUGGGCUGGGAGAUAAUUAACAAUUCAAGGCUGGACGACAUAAGAAAUGUUUUGCAUCUGAGCUUCAUCUACCUCCCAACAUACUUAAAAAGUUGUUUCCUAUACUGCAGGUUAUUUCCAGAAGACCACCAUUUUAAAAGGAAACAACUUGUACGAUUAUGGAUAGCAGAGGGGUUCAUUGAGGAGAGGGGUGAAAGCACACUAGAAGAAGUGGCAGAAGGCUAUCUGAAGGAGUUGACUGACAGAAACAUGCUACAACUUGUUGAGAGGAACCACUUUGGUAGGAUGAAGAAAUUCAGAAUGCACGAUCUCGUACGUGAACUGGCAGUUGAUUUGUGCAAGAAGAACUGCUUUGGUGUUAGUUAUGAGGAUGAGUGUGGGGGCCUGGGGGGUCUCUUGAGAUGGAUGGACGUCGGUUGGUGCUUCACAAACUAAAGAAGGAUAUUGAGCAGCCAUUUUCCAAUAUGCACCAACUUCGGACUGUCAUUACACUGGGCAGUAGCAAGUCAUCAUGCACCUUACUACCUUUGCUAUGCAUGAAGUCAAGAUAUAUGACAGUGCUUGAAUUAAGUGGUCUGCCCAUUGAGAAGAUUCCAGAUGCUAUUGGGGAUCUUUUUAAUCUCUGUCAUUUGGGUUUGCGGGGUUCAAAGGUGAAGAUGCUUCCGAAGUCUGUUGAGAAGCUUUCAAAUCUAUUGACACUGGACCUUUAUGAAUCUGAUAUACAUGAGCUGCCUAGUGGGAUUGUGAAACUGAAGAAGCUCAGACACUUAUUUGCUCAGAAAACAAUUGAUCCAAGAUGGAGAGAGCUUGCAAGUUGCAGUGGUGUGCAUAUACCCAAUGGACUUGGAAAUCUAAUAAACCUUCAGACGCUACAGGCAUUGGAAUUACAGGAUGAGUCUGUUAGACAUUUAGGGGAGCUGAGGCAAUUGAGAAGCUUGAGGUUAUUGAAUGUGAAGGGAAUCUACUGUAGAAGUAUCAGCGAAUCUCUAGUCCAGAUGCAGUAUUUGUCCAACCUAUAUGUGAAUGCAAGUGAUGAGAACGAGGUUCUCUUGCUGAAUGUCUGCCUGCCAAGCCUGCAAAAGCUACUUUUGACAGGACGACUAGCGGAUGAGUCUCCUCUCCUCCAAGCUGUUGGGGGGCAGAACUUGUAUGAAUUGUCUCUAUACUGGUCACAGCUGAGAGAAGACCCCCUGCCAUCCCUUUCUCGGUUGACAAACUUGACGUGUCUACGUCUCACGAGAGCAUACAAUGGAGAGCAGCUGGCAUUUCUCAGGGGGUGGUUCCCCAAGCUAAAGGUUCUCUGGCUAAGGGACCUGCCUAAUCUGAAUCGGCUAGAGAUACAGGAAGGCGCCAUGGCGAGCCUGGAAAUAUUAGUCUUAAGCAACCUCAGAAGCAUGACGGAGGUCCCAGCUGGCAUUGAGUUCCUCAUGCCCCUCCAGUAUCUAGCCUUCUGGGAAAUCACCGGUGACUUCUUGACAUUGCUGCGUCAAUGUUCUGCAAUUCAAGGGACACAGUGGCAGCAUACUCUCCGACGUUGACCAGCCACACCGUCGAGGAAAGUGCAUGCAGGUCACCGGCUGGAAGGAAGACGCACGCAUGCAGAUUGGUCGCAAAGGAGUCAGGGCGUCAAUGCAUCCAUCUCAAGAUGCAUCAUAUCAUAUGCAGUGUUGGUAUACGUCAGUGCAGCGGUGCAGCUGAUGUAGUACUGUACACCAUUUCAAGGUUUCCUCUGCUUUUUUCAGGAAGCACCAUAAAACUCUGUUGGUGGGCUUCCUCUACUUUAUUUCAAGGCACACUGCCUCUACUUUGCUUACCACUGCUCCUGCUACUAUAUAUUUGUGUGCUUUUGCUUGUAGUAAGACUGCACUUAUACUGUUGUAAUAAGACCGGAACCAAAGUCGUGUUUUCAUCUUUGAGACUAUUUUUCAUUUUUGCAUUGCCUGUUUGAACUGUGUGUGUGUGUACUUGUUCUGUUCGCGUCUCUGUGCGCUAGUUGUGAACCGUGUAUGAUAUCGCCUACGUAUUUCAGCUGUGGCUGUUAAAUAAAGGAUUCGACCGUGUUGUG